Molecule: long non-coding RNA, 1188 nt
Filed under: Anolis carolinensis (green anole)
Lineage: Eukaryota; Metazoa; Chordata; Lepidosauria; Squamata; Anolidae
Description: lncRNA (ENSACAG00000030797.2)
Source: RNAcentral
AAGUUCAUGGGACAACUGAAAUGGUUGCCAUGAUGGGAACAGCUACAAUAUUAUGAAUCACAGAUUCCUUCCCUAUCAAGAACAUUCAGUGAGGCAUGGCAACGGUAUAUGACAUGCAAAUGAACCUCCUUGCUGGAGACAAAGACCAUAGCACAUCUCUAGUCACAAUAACUCUCUUAGCUCAUUUCACUUCACAUUCACAUUGUAUCACUUUCUGCUUGACCAGUUCUUCUGUUAUCUCUUUUAUUUCUUGAAACCCAGGGAAUUAGAAACCUACCAAUCUUGGACUGAGGAAGCACUUUUUCCUGAUAAAUUCUGGAAGCAAACUAUUUUUUUCUCAGAUACAGCAAUAUGUAUAUGUUGGACAACAUCUCAGACAGAUCAACAAAUGGGGUUUAAUAUCUCUGUUAUUCUGCCAUCAAUCAUUGUCUGGAUUCAAACAAGCAUCUACAUCAAGAGGACAUGAAUACUUCUGCAGCAGACCGAUGAAUAAGAGAAAUAAUAGAUGACAGACUGCAUGGAAGAAAUUUAUUUGCAAAAACCCCCCCUGCAAUAUUGAAGUUGCAUUCUCUUGUAAUCUGUAAUUGCUGCAGAAAAUUGGUCCAAUAUAAUAUGUAUAUUAAUGAAUAAAUAGCAAAAACAAAUAAAUAAUAGUAGCAGUUUAACAUCAGAGUUUAUUUUCAUUUAUUACAUCUAUCCAAUUUCUUUUAUUCUGAACAAGGUGCUUUCUAUUUUGAACUGGAAAUAGUUUAUUGUAUUUUAUUUAUGAAAUGCUCAGGCAUUGAAAUUGGUCCUUUUGAUAAAAAAUGAGGUAAUAAGUUGAUUAACCCAAACACUCCAUCUCUAUUAAAACAUGGCUCUGAAUAUGGAUGUGGGAAAUUAUUAUGAUUCAAAAUGCAUUAUAAUUCUCAUUGGAGUUUUAAAAAUGCUUGAGAACUCACAGAAUUGACAUUGAUGCCUGACAAUAUAAAGUGUGAAUCUAUGGACUACAGAAAGAAAAUGUGAUGGUACAAUAUGAUGCCCUUAUCAAUGGAUUGAAAUCCAUGGUUAUACUUGCCUACUCUCCAGAGCCUAUUGGCUGUUAAGAAUUGUAGGAGUUGAAGUCUAAAACACCUGGAGGGCCAAAGAUUGCCUAUGCCUGAUCUAGAUCCAUACAGCCAUCUUAAUGAGUGUUCCUUGUGUGAAUAA